UACGUAGGUGGCAAGCGUUGUCCGGAAUUAUUGGGCGUAAAGCGCGCGCAGGCGGCCUCUUAAGUCUGAUGUGAAAGCCCCCGGCUCAACCGGGGAGGGCCAUUGGAAACUGGGAGGCUUGAGUAUAGGAGAGAAGAGUGGAAUUCCACGUGUAGCGGUGAAAUGCGGUAGAGAUGUGGAGGAACACCAGUGGCGAAGGCGACUCUUUGGCCUAUAACUGACGCUGAGGCGCGAAAGCGUGGGGAGCAAACAGG
RNAcentral lists this ribosomal RNA (254 nucleotides) under uncultured bacterium. RNAcentral's name for it is "partial 16S ribosomal RNA". It matches the Rfam family "Bacterial small subunit ribosomal RNA", at positions 524 to 776 of the family's 1533-position model. The record is from RNAcentral.